Molecule: ribosomal RNA, 623 nt
Filed under: Gluconobacter oxydans
Lineage: Bacteria; Pseudomonadati; Pseudomonadota; Alphaproteobacteria; Acetobacterales; Acetobacteraceae
Description: bacterial SSU rRNA
Rfam family: Bacterial small subunit ribosomal RNA
Source: RNAcentral
UCCACGGAUGGGGGACAACUCGGGAAACUGGAGCUAAUACCGGAUGAUACCUGAGGGUCAAAGGCGCAAGUCGCCUGUGGAGGAACCUGCGUUCGAUUAGCUAGUUGGUGGGGUAAAGGCCUACCAAGGCGAUGAUCGAUAGCUGGUUUGAGAGGAUGAUCAGCCACACUGGGACUGAGACACGGCCCAGACUCCUACGGGAGGCAGCAGUGGGGAAUAUUGGACAAUGGGGGAAACCCUGAUCCAGCAAUGCCGCGUGUGUGAAGAAGGUCUUCGGAUUGUAAAGCACUUUCGACGGGGACGAUGAUGACGGUACCCGUAGAAGAAGCCCCGGCUAACUUCGUGCCAGCAGCCGCGGUAAUACGAAGGGGGCUAGCGUUGCUCGGAAUGACUGGGCGUAAAGGGCGCGUAGGCGGUUUGGACAGUCAGAUGUGAAAUCCCCGGGCUUAACCUGGGAACUGCAUUUGAUACGUCCAGACUAGAGUUCGAGAGAGGGUUGUGGAAUUCCCAGUGUAGAGGUGAAAUUCGUAGAUAUUGGGAAGAACACCGGUGGCGAAGGCGGCAACCUGGCUCGAUACUGACGCUGAGGCGCGAAAGCGUGGGGAGCAAACAGGAUUAGAUAC